RNAcentral lists this ribosomal RNA (3051 nucleotides) under Triticum aestivum (bread wheat). Its description in RNAcentral is "partial small subunit ribosomal RNA". Lineage: Eukaryota; Viridiplantae; Streptophyta; Magnoliopsida; Poales; Poaceae. The record is from RNAcentral.
AUGCGUCGUACAAUCAAUCUUUUGCUCGCUCUCAUCAGCAUAAGCAUCUUUUCGUUCUUCACAAAUGAUGCACUACAACCCCAGCAUCCGCAUGCCCAUGGGGGUGGCUGCAUCCCGGCCGAGAGGGCCGCCUUGCUCUCCUUCAAAAAGGGCAUUACAAGCGACAGCGCCAACCUCCUCACCUCAUGGGACGGCCAAGAUUGCUGCCGGUGGAGAGGCAUCGGUUGCAACAAUCGAACUGGCCAUGUCGUCAAGCUUCACCUUCGUAGUACUAUUGUGGAGGACAACCCCUGGGGCUACUAUGAUCCAUGUGAACAUGACAAUUCUUUGUUCGGCGAGAUAAGUCCCUCUCUACUUUCCUUGAAGCAUCUAGAGCACCUGGACCUUAGCAUGAACUGUUUACCAGGGCCAAAUAGCAAAAUUCUUAAUUUACUGGGCUCCAUGAUAAACUUGAGAUACCUUGACCUCUCUGGUAUACCAUUUACCGGUAGAGUGCCUUCUCAGCUAGGAAAUCUGUCUAAGUUGCAGUAUCUUGACCUUGCCCAAACUGGUAAUUCUAUGAUGUACUCAACGGACAUCAACUGGCUGGCGAAGCUACCUUUCCUGCAGUUCCUUAGCAUGAGCGGAGUCCAGCUCUCAGGGAUACCUGACUGGCCUCAUACCCUCAAUAUGAUUCCACCUCUGAGGGUUAUUCAUCUUUCUUCCUGUUCACUUGAUAGUGCAAACCAAUCACUUCUGCACCUUAAUCUCACAAAACUUGAGAAGCUUGACCUGUCCUCAAAUGAUUUUGAGCACUCACUCACAUCUGGUUGGUUUUGGAAAGCAACAAGCUUGAAGUACCUCGAUCUUGGGGAGAACAGAUUUUUCGGGCAGCUCCCUGACACACUAGGAAACAUGACGUACCUUCAAGUCCUUGAUAUUUCACGCAAUGAGAACAAGAACAUGAUGAUGACAGGAUACUAUAAGAAUCUUUGCAGUUUGGAAAUCCUUGACCUCUCUGUUAAUAGCAUAAAUGGAGACAUAGCAGUGCUGAUGAAGAGUUUGCCGCAAUGCACAUGGAAAAAAUUGCAGGAGCUGGAUUUUAGUAUCAACAAUUUCACUGGAACUCUGCCAGACUUUAUUAGUGAGUUCACUAGGUUGAGCAUACUAUACCUCUAUUCAAACAACCUUGUUGGAACUAUACCACCACAGAUUGGGAAUAUGACAGGUCUAACCUCCCUUGCACUCUAUAACAAUCAGCUCACCGGAAGUAUACCAGCCAAUCUUGGGAAAUUGAUGUAUAUGACUGAACUUCUCCUCUCAAGCAAUCUUCUCAGUGGAACUGUACCCACUGAAAUAGGUUCUCUUAUUAAUCUGAAUUCUCUGGCCCUAAGGGAAAAUAACUUUACUGGAGUGAUCACGGAAGAACACUUCGCAAAUCUAACAAGUUUAAGGGCAAUAGACAUCUCUUCCAACAAUUUGAAGAUUGUACUGAGUUCCGAUUGGCGUCCUCCCGUUACUCUGAAGUAUGCAUCAUUUGGAUCUUGCCAGAUGGGUCCUCUGUUUCCACCUUGGCUUCAGCAGCUGAAAACCACUGGGCUUGACAUUUCAAGCAACGGUUUGAAGGACGAGUUUCCUGAUUGGUUUUGGUCUGCAUUUUCACAUGCCACAUCACUGGAUAUCUCUAACAACCAAAUAAGUGGCAGCUUGCCAGCAGAUCUGGAUCGCAUGGCUUUUAAGAAACUCGUUCUCAAUUCAAACCGGUUUACUGGCCCAAUACCUGCAUUGCCAAAUAAUAUCACAUGGUUAGACAUCUCCAACAAUAAAUUUUCAGAAACAAUACCAUCAAACCUUGGAGCCUCACUACUUGAAGUAUUGUCUGUGCAUUCAAAUCAAAUUGGUGGCUAUAUUCCAGAAUCUAUUUGCAAACUUGAAUGGUUGGUGUAUCUGGAUUUGUCGAACAAUAUUUUGGAGGGUGAAAUUCCCCAAUGUUUUGAAAUCCACAACAUACAAUUUUUUAUACUCAACAAUAACAGUUUAUCAGGAAAAAUGCCAGCAUUUUUGCAGAACAACACAGGUCUGAAGUUCUUGGAUUUGUCAUGGAAUAAGUUCUCUGGAAGAUUACCUACAUGGAUAGGAAAGCUGGUGAAUUUACAUUUUCUGAUACUGAGCCACAAUAAUUUUUCUGAUAAUAUUCCAGUUGACAUAACUGAGCUUGGGUAUCUUCGAUACUUAGAUCUAUCAGGCAACAGCUUCUCUGGUGCAAUACCUCAGCAUCUGUUGAACCUAACAUUUAUGAGAACAUUACAACAGGAAUCAGUUGGUAUGGAUGGUUCUGUUGAAUCUCAUGGAACCACAAACUUACGCACUAGCAGCAUACUGAAUGUUGAACAGCUAGGACAUAUAUUGUCAGUACAGACAAAAGGGCAGCAGCUUGUAUACUUAUUUGGCAGAACACUUGCAUAUUUUGUGAGCAUUGAUUUAUCAUGCAACUCCCUGACUGGUGAAAUUCCUACAUACAUCACUUCGCUUGCUGCACUAAUGAAUAUGAACUUAUCAUCAAACCAAUUGAGUGGAGAAAUUCCAAGCAUGAUUGGCACCAUGCAGUCACUGGUAUCUCUUGACCUCUCUCAGAACAAGCUUUCUGGUGAAAUCCCAUCGAGCUUGUCAAAUCUGACAUCUCUGGCCGCCCUGAACCUGUCCUACAACAGUUUGUCUGGAAGGAUACCCUCUGGCCGCCAACUUGACACCCUCAAUUCGGAGAACCCGUCACUUAUGUACAUCGGCAACAAUGGACUUUGUGGGCCUCCUGUCCACAAGAAUUGUUCAGGAAAUGAUCCUUUCAUCCAUGGCGAUCUCAGAAGCAGUAACCAAGAAUUUGAUCCACUGACGUUUCACUUUGGUCUUGUGCUGGGAUUUGUGGUGGGGCUCUGGAUGGUGUUUUGUGCACUGCUGUUCAAGAAGACAUGGAGAAUUGCUUACUUCCGGUUCUUCGACAAGGUGUACGAUCAUGUCUAUGUAUUUGUGGUUGUGAAGUGGGCAGGCUUCGCAAAGAAAACAGAUGAAGAAUAA